AAACUUUCAGCGACGGAUGUCUUGGCUCCCACAACGAUGAAGAACGCAGCGAAAUGCGAUACGUCUUGCGACUUGCAGAAUCCAGUGAAAUCAUCA
RNAcentral lists this ribosomal RNA (96 nucleotides) under Ectocarpus siliculosus. RNAcentral describes it as "partial 5.8S ribosomal RNA". It matches the Rfam family "5.8S ribosomal RNA", at positions 1 to 94 of the family's 154-position model. Rfam says of the family: 5.8S ribosomal RNA (5.8S rRNA) is a component of the large subunit of the eukaryotic ribosome. It is transcribed by RNA polymerase I as part of the 45S precursor that also contains 18S and 28S rRNA. Lineage: Eukaryota; Phaeophyceae; Ectocarpales; Ectocarpaceae. The record is from RNAcentral.